AUCGGUGGACGGGUGAGUAACACGUGGGCAACCUACCUGUAAGACUGGGAUAUCUUCGGGAAACCGGAGCUAUUACCGGAUGACAUAGGAAAUCCUGUGUUUAUUUAUUUGAAGAUGGCUUCGGCUAUCACUUACAGAUGGGCCCGCGGCGCAUUAGCUAGUUGGUGAGGUAACGGCUCACCAAGGCGACGAUGCGUAGCCGACCUGAGAGGGUGAUCGGCCACACUGGGACUGAGACACGGCCCAGACCUCCUACGGGAGGCAGCAGUAGGGAAUCUUCCGCAAUGGACGAAAGUCUGACGGAGCAACGCCGCGUGAGCGAUGAAGGCCUUCGGGUCGUAAAGCUCUGUUGUUAGGGAAGAAUAAGUGCUAGUUGAAUAAGCUGGCACCUUGACGGUACCUAACCAGAAACCACGRG
RNAcentral lists this ribosomal RNA (418 nucleotides) under soil isolate KBS-EC1. RNAcentral's name for it is "bacterial SSU rRNA". It matches the Rfam family "Bacterial small subunit ribosomal RNA", at positions 94 to 496 of the family's 1533-position model. The record is from RNAcentral.